UCAACAAUUCGGCUUCCGACAAUAUACAGUUGUGAUGGUCUUUUCUGUUAGAUGGUGAAACAAUGACAAGAGUCAGAGACAGGACUGAGGAUUUUAAAGAUGCAGUGAGGAACACUGCUGUUUCUUUGGGGUACAAUGAGUCCANAUUUUGGCAUCUUUCAUUAUUCAUAAACCUCGACAGCACUUACCUUUUACCAAGGCUGCACUAACAACGC
Molecule: unclassified non-coding RNA, 215 nt
Filed under: Hevea brasiliensis (rubber tree)
Lineage: Eukaryota; Viridiplantae; Streptophyta; Magnoliopsida; Malpighiales; Euphorbiaceae
Source: RNAcentral